This 492-nucleotide ribosomal RNA is filed under the name uncultured bacterium. Its description in RNAcentral is "partial 16S ribosomal RNA". It matches the Rfam family "Bacterial small subunit ribosomal RNA", at positions 29 to 507 of the family's 1533-position model. The record is from RNAcentral.
AGUGAACGCUGGCGGUAGGCCUAACACAUGCAAGUCGAACGGCAGCACAGUAAGAGCUUGCUCUUACGGGUGGCGAGUGGCGGACGGGUGAGGAAUACAUCGGAAUCUACUUUUUCGUGGGGGAUAACGUAGGGAAACUUACGCUAAUACCGCAUACGACCUACGGGUGAAAGCAGGGGAUCUUCGGACCUUGCGCGAUUGAAUGAGCCGAUGUCGGAUUAGCUAGUUGGCGGGGUAAAGGCCCACCAAGGCGACGAUCCGUAGCUGGUCUGAGAGGAUGAUCAGCCACACUGGAACUGAGACACGGUCCAGACUCCUACGGGAGGCAGCAGUGGGGAAUAUCGGACAAUGGGCGCAAGCCUGAUCCAGCCAUACCGCAUGGGUGAAGAAGGCCUUCGGGUUGUAAAGCCCUUUUGUUGGGAAAGAAAAGCAGCAGGUUAAUACCCCGCUGUUCUGACGGUACCCAAAGAAUAAGCACCGGCUAACUUCGUG